GCUCCCGUCGAUGGUUCCUCCUACAUCGUCGUCGUCGUUGUUGUCGUUGUCGUCGUCGUCGUCGUCGUUGAACAUUCAUCCCUUCCUCGGCGUGAGAUGCCCCUUCCUGUCGACGCGUCGAGUUGCGUCGGUGUCGGCGGGGUGGCGGCAGCCAGGCGCACGAGGAGGAGGCUCGAAACUGUUCGUUUCCUCUAGUGGCUCUCGUGUGCUCGCGUGACACGUGCGUGAAGGAAAAGACAAGCCAGGUUUUGUGUUUGGUGGUGAAAAAUUCGACGACUCACGUUAACACACCCCCGCUUACGCCGUUGACCCCCCCUCACCACCGCCCCCCCCACCGCAUUAUCGUGUAUUUCGUUUUUUUUUUCUUUUGCCUUUCGUCGACGAACGUGCGUUAACACUACCACCCCCCACUGUACUUUCUGUUUUUUCUUUUUAUUUUUCUUUUUCUUUUUCUUCUUCUUCUUCUAUUUUGCGUCGAGAAAGAUCAGAAACAAAAAGGACAGACGCGCACGCACGCACGCACGAAAGGCAAAAAAAUAGAAAAUGAGGAAAAAUUAAAGGACAACGUCGAUCGAUCGAUCCUGCCUUCUUCUUCUACCGAAGAGAUUCGUCUUAUUACAAUUUAAUUAUUCCCCGAGUGGAUGGAUAGUCAUCGAGGAAGAUUUCGAGGUUACGGACUAUAGGACGAGGGAAAGGAUUUCUUUUUUUCUUCAUUUCUCUCAUCCCCCCUCACCACAACCACCAUCCUCAUCCCUGUCGUUUAUUCCUCCCUCGCCCCCUAAUAAAUUAAAAAAUAUCCAAGAACGAGAAGAAGAAGAAGAAGAAGAAGAAGAAGAAGAAGAAAGAUAUCGAAAAUUCGAGAGAGUUCACAGUGAAUAUAUUUUAUUAAAAAAUAUAAUAAGUGUAUUAUAAUUCGAUCAUAAAAAUUUGAUCAUAAAAAAACUAUGUGUGAAUCAGUGAUCAAUCUAUACAUCGAACAUUUCAAUCAAAUUCAAAGUGAAAUCGUCAGUCGUAAAACGAGAAAGAAAGUUAAGUGUGGUGAAACGAAAACGUCUGUCGUUUUAAUAAAAAGACAACGAUUACGAUAGACAAAAGUUUUAUUUCGCGAAAAUAUUAUAAUAUGGUUUUUUAAAAGAAGAUAUUCAAGAAAUUGGAAUUACACGUCGCAAGAGAAGAAAAAUUAUGCAAAUUGUGUGGGUGUGCGCGUGUGUAUACGUGUUAGUAGUGUGCGUUCGAUAAGAAGAAAAAAGAAAAUCUUGGAGAAACUUAAAAAAAAGGUGGAAAUCAAGGAACAAUAGUGGUGUGGAUGAACGGGUUUAAGAUGAAAUGAUAUCAAGUAGUCCUUUACUUUCUGUUUGUGAACAGUGAACGAAGGAUAUAAAAAAGUGAUUUUCAUUCGUUCUACUAUCGUUACGAUUACAUACCUUUUUGAUAAGGAAAAAUAAAAGAAAGAAAGAAAGAAAGGAAGAAAGAAAGGAAAGAAAAAUAAAACAAUGUGAAUCGAAGAAUGAUGAGUUAUCCUGACACGAGUUAUGCCGUAAGGAGGAGACUCUUUAUCAGGAACAGAAAGAAAUGAAGUUAUCAGUGUCGGCUUACAGAGCUCAGGCCAGUGCUCAUAAAAAAAUCCUUUGCAAUUAUCAACAACAACUUAGUUACGGUGCUACAAAUCAGGCAUCCUCGAACCGGACCCCCUCGGACCCCGCUGCGGUCCUGUCUGGCCUCAAGCUCUGAAUGUACCAAUUAGGAGUGCGCGCGAUCUUAGAAAAUGUCACAAAGACAGCCAGUGGUUCGUAUAUCGCUCCCCGUAAGU
This 1810-nucleotide long non-coding RNA is filed under the name Polistes canadensis. Its description in RNAcentral is "uncharacterized LOC106786770, transcript variant X1". Lineage: Eukaryota; Metazoa; Arthropoda; Insecta; Hymenoptera; Vespidae. The record is from RNAcentral.